AAAAAUAAAAAAAUAAAAAAUUUAAAAAAAUUUAAAAAUUAAAUUUGAUCACAAUUUAAUUGAAUUAAAUCAAACUAAACUAAAAUUAAAAUUAAAAUAAAAACCUUAAUUAAGAUCAAAAUUAAAAUUAAAGACAACCCUACAAUUCAGUCGUGAUUUCUUUAAAUUUUAAACCGAUCUGAUGGGCGAUGGCGACCUUCAACUAAAAUAGCUCAUUUAAUAUUAAUUUUCUAUUGUGCUUAAUAUUUCGUACAGUGAAAAUUAAAAUUAUCUCUUUUAAUUUAUUUUUAUUUUAUAUAAAAAAAGAAACAAAAUUACUUUA
This 322-nucleotide unclassified non-coding RNA is filed under the name Hevea brasiliensis (rubber tree). Lineage: Eukaryota; Viridiplantae; Streptophyta; Magnoliopsida; Malpighiales; Euphorbiaceae. The record is from RNAcentral.